Molecule: long non-coding RNA, 789 nt
Filed under: Coffea arabica (coffee)
Lineage: Eukaryota; Viridiplantae; Streptophyta; Magnoliopsida; Gentianales; Rubiaceae
Description: long non-coding RNA (CARA_LNC001878)
Source: RNAcentral
UCCAAUAUUCAUCCAAAUCUAACUACAAAUACAAGAUGGAUAAACUACUCUACCUAUACUAUACUAAUGAACCAAGGAAACUCUAGUGAAAACUACAUUUCUGGUGAGUUUCUCUAGCCUUCUCCCAAGUUAUUUUGAAUCCUGCAAGUCCAUGGCUAUAUAUAGAUGAAUGCAAUCAGGAAAUGAGGCUUGAAACAUCCCUUUUACAGCUGCUAAUUGGUUGUCAUACGUUCAUCCAUAGCUGUAAAUUGUUGAAGGAGAAAACAGGUUGUACCAGCAGCUAUUUCUGACCAGAAUCUGGCUACUUCAACUGUUAUUUUCUCUAUAAUGACGGCUAAAUUAGCUCUUGUGAAAAACAUAGAAGUUGUAGCCCAUUGAAAUAGCUGUCCAAUGCCUCAAGAAUCAUCCAAUUUAGAGCUGUCUAGACCGAUAUAUGAUAAAAAUACCACUGACUGGUCAAUUCCGCGUUUUCAGCUCUCAGCAGCAGACUUUUACUUCUGUAUUUUGACAUUUUGACCAGGAAAACAGCCGAAUUGGACUUUUGAUGUCUUCAUACCAAAUGUAGAUCUGUCUCUUAGCUUUAAAAUGAUAUAAAGAUCAUCUGAAUCCAAUGUAUGUAGCCCAAGAUAUAGCCAAAAUACCAACAGAUGCCAAAGCUGACUUUUGUUUGAUUCUUUUGUUCUCAAGUUGCAUUUCUCAGCUGAGUUGAAUUUCGGUAUUUCAACUUUUGGACAAUGAAAACGGCUGAAUUAGAUUCUGAUGUCUUCAUACCAAAUUUAGAUCUAUCUC